Molecule: non-coding RNA, 46 nt
Organism: Achromatium sp. WMS1
Lineage: Bacteria; Pseudomonadati; Pseudomonadota; Gammaproteobacteria; Thiotrichales; Thiotrichaceae
Source: Rfam
AUCCUGGCUUCUUUUGAAGCCAUCAUAAAAAACUGAAAGAUGCGUU